GACGAACGCUGGCGGCGUGCUUAACACAUGCGAGUCGAACGGAAAGGCCUCUUUCGGGGGGUACUCGAGUGGCGAACGGGUGAGUAACACGUGAGUAACCUGCCCUUGACUUUGGGAUAACUUCAGGAAACUGGGGCUAAUACCGGAUAGGAGCUCCUGCUGCAUGGUGGGGGUUGGAAAGUUUCGGCGGUUGGGGAUGGACUCGCGGCUUAUCAGCUUGUUGGUGGGGUAGUGGCUUACCGAGGCUUUGACGGGUAGCCGGCCUGAGAGGGUGACCGGCCACAUUGGGACUGAGAUACGGCCCAGACUCCUACGGGAGGCAGCAGUGGGGAAUAUUGCACAAUGGGUGGAAGCCUGAUGCAGCAACGCCGUGUGCGGGAUGACGGCCUUCGGGUUGUAAACCGCUUUCGCUCAUGACGAAGCUUUGUGUGACGGUAGUGGGUAAAGAAGCACCGGCUAACUACGUG
RNAcentral lists this ribosomal RNA (467 nucleotides) under uncultured bacterium. Its description in RNAcentral is "partial 16S ribosomal RNA". It matches the Rfam family "Bacterial small subunit ribosomal RNA", at positions 28 to 507 of the family's 1533-position model. The record is from RNAcentral.